GGGUCAGUAGGUUGGUCGUGCCACCGGUACGUACUGUUCUCACUGAUUCCUCCUUCCUGAAGAACCGUAAUGCCAUUAAUUUGGUGUUGCGGGGAAACAGGACUGUUACUUUGAAAAAAUUAGAGUGUUUAAGGCAAGCUAACGCUUGAAUACAUUAGCAUGGAAUAAUGAAAUAGGACGAUCGAUCCUAUUUUGUUGGUUUCUAGGAUUGACGUA
RNAcentral lists this ribosomal RNA (216 nucleotides) under Glomeromycotina sp. RNAcentral describes it as "partial small subunit ribosomal RNA". The stretch from base 37 to 216 matches the Rfam family "Eukaryotic small subunit ribosomal RNA", at positions 683 to 864 of the family's 1831-position model. The record is from RNAcentral. Lineage: Eukaryota; Fungi; Glomeromycota.